RNAcentral lists this ribosomal RNA (262 nucleotides) under uncultured bacterium. RNAcentral's name for it is "partial 16S ribosomal RNA". It matches the Rfam family "Bacterial small subunit ribosomal RNA", at positions 793 to 1055 of the family's 1533-position model. The record is from RNAcentral.
GUCCACGCCGUAAACGUUGGGCACUAGGUGUGGGGGAUUAUCAACGUCCUCCGUGCCGUAGCUAACGCAUUAAGUGCCCCGCCUGGGGAGUACGGCCGCAAGGCUAAAACUCAAAGGAAUUGACGGGGGCCCGCACAAGCGGCGGAGCAUGUUGCUUAAUUCGAUGCAACGCGAAGAACCUUACCUGGGUUUGACAUGUGGGGAAAAGCCGUAGAGAUACGGUGUCCUUCGGGGUCCCACACAGGUGGUGCAUGGCUGUCGU